Molecule: ribosomal RNA, 400 nt
Filed under: uncultured bacterium
Lineage: Bacteria
Description: bacterial SSU rRNA
Rfam family: Bacterial small subunit ribosomal RNA
Source: RNAcentral
CCUACCUAUCAGAGGGGAAUAACCCGGCGAAAGUCGGACUAAUACCGCAUAAAACAGGGGCACCGCAUGGUGAUAUUUGUUAAAGAAAUUCGCUGAUAGAUGGGCAUGCGUUCCAUUAGGUAGUUGGUGAGGUAACGGCUCACCAAGCCGACGAUGGAUAGGGAACUGAGAGGUUGGUCCCCCACACUGGUACUGAGACACGGACCAGACUCCUACGGGAGGCAGCAGUGAGGAAUAUUGGUCAAUGGGCGGGAGCCUGAACCAGCCAAGUCGCGGUAGGAAGGAAGAAGGAUCUAGUGGUUACGUAAACUUCUUUGCGAGGGGAAUAAAGUGCAGGACGUGUCCUUGUUUUGUAUGUACCCUGAGAAUAAGGAUCGGCUAACUCCGUGCCAGCCGCAGC